Molecule: long non-coding RNA, 202 nt
Filed under: Gossypium barbadense (sea-island cotton)
Lineage: Eukaryota; Viridiplantae; Streptophyta; Magnoliopsida; Malvales; Malvaceae
Description: long non-coding RNA (GBAR_LNC006537)
Source: RNAcentral
AAAUUGAAUUAUUCAUUGGGAAAUGAUUAAUGUAGGUUCGGCCAAGACAAAGUGUAUACAUGAUAGUAUAUGUGAUAUGUGAAGUAUAUUUGGAUAAUUAUGAUGUGAAUGUAUAUAUAUGUGAUAAGGCCUAAUGGCCGAUGUGAUGAAUGUGAAAGUGUAUAUAUGUGAUAAGGCCUAAUGGCCGAUGUGAUGAAUGUGA